Molecule: long non-coding RNA, 243 nt
Filed under: Capsella rubella
Lineage: Eukaryota; Viridiplantae; Streptophyta; Magnoliopsida; Brassicales; Brassicaceae
Description: long non-coding RNA (CRUB_LNC002831)
Source: RNAcentral
UUCUAUGAAGUUAUUAAACUGUGAAUUUUUGUUUGUUGAACUUUCCAGUAUCUGUUUUUGACUAGUAUUCAUAUCUUUUUUUUUUUUUUUGUCUAUCUAAGUAUUCAUAUGUAAAGAAUUUAUUUUUUAUUUCAAUUCACCUAAACCUUUCUCAUUCAAAAACUAUCCUUAAUUUUGUUAGAAUACAAUUUACUAAUUUAGUCUAGUAUCGUCCACAUAUCGUCAUCAAUAGGUCAAUUGAGA